AGAUGGCAAUCCAUUCAGAAAAUGUACUCUUUGCCUUGGAAAUUAAUGGGCACAGUACAAGAAGAAAUGCAUAUGCACAUAAUAUGUGUACUUCUAAGCCAUUAACAGAUACAGACAUGAGCAAACACAAUAUGUAACCAUCAAGCUUAACAGCAAGGGAAAUCUGACAACCAAAUUUUCAGAGCUGAUUGACCAAGAAAAUAAAAGAAAAACAAUUGCUUGAGGCGAUGGAGGAAGAUCUUUUAAAAAACCAAUUCAAAGGGAAAAAUAUUAGCAAUUGAAUACAUAAUUCCACAAAAAAUACGGCUAUGUACCACAACAACAGGGAAGCUUAGUCAGGAUAUAUUACAAAUGAUGCAAGGAAUCCUAACCAAAAUGAGAUUUAUCCUGCUGUCAUAUGCUUUCCAUAUACUUGGAACAAU
This 422-nucleotide unclassified non-coding RNA is filed under the name Hevea brasiliensis (rubber tree). Lineage: Eukaryota; Viridiplantae; Streptophyta; Magnoliopsida; Malpighiales; Euphorbiaceae. The record is from RNAcentral.